CCUACGGGUGGCUGCAGUGGGGAAUAUUGCACAAUGGGGGAAACCCUGAUGCAGCGACGCCGCGUGAGUGAAGAAGUCUUUCUGUAUGUAAAGCCCUAUCAGCAGGGAAGAAGAACGACGUUACCUGACUCAGACGCCCCGGCUAAAUACGUGCCAGCAGCCGCGGUAAUACGUCGGGGGCAAGCGUUAUCCGGAUUUACUGGGUGUAAAGGGAGCGUAGGCGGAGAAGCGAGUCUGGAGUGAAAGCCCGUGGCUUAACCCCGGGACUGCUUUGGAAACUGGUGGACUAGAGUGCGGGAGAGGUAAGUGGAAUUCCUAGUGUAGCGGUGAAAUGCGUAGAUAUUAGGAGGAACACCAGUGGCGAAGGCGGCUUACUGGACAGUAACUGACGUUGAGGCUCGAAAGCGUGGGGAGCAAACAGGAUUAGAUACCCGUGUAGUC
This 441-nucleotide ribosomal RNA is filed under the name uncultured bacterium. RNAcentral's name for it is "partial 16S ribosomal RNA". It matches the Rfam family "Bacterial small subunit ribosomal RNA", at positions 338 to 795 of the family's 1533-position model. The record is from RNAcentral.